GACGAACGCUGGCGGCGUGCUUAACACAUGCAAGUCGAACGAUGAAGCCGGAGCUUGCUCUGGUGAAUUAGUGGCGAACGGGUGAGUAACACGUGAGUAACCUGCCCUUGACUCUGGGAUAACUGCUAGAAAUGGUAGCUAAUACCGGAUACGACCCUCGGAGGCAUCUUCAGGGGGUGGAAAGAAUUUCGGUCAAGGAUGGACUCGCGGCCUAUCGGCUAGUUGGUGAGGUAACGGCUCACCAAGGCGACGACGGGUAGCCGGCCUGAGAGGGGGACCGGGCACACAGGGACUGGGACACGGCCCAGACUCCUACGGGAGGCAGCGGUGGGGAAUAUUGCACACUGGGCGCAAGCCUGAUGCAGCAACGCCGCGUGAGGGAUGACGGCCUUCGGGUUGUAAACCUCUUUUAGUAGGGAAGAAGCGAAAGUGACGGUACCUGCAGAAAAAGCACCGGCUAACUACGUGCCAGCCGCCGCAGUAA
RNAcentral lists this ribosomal RNA (484 nucleotides) under uncultured bacterium. RNAcentral describes it as "partial 16S ribosomal RNA". It matches the Rfam family "Bacterial small subunit ribosomal RNA", at positions 28 to 523 of the family's 1533-position model. The record is from RNAcentral.